AGAAUCAACGCUGGCGGCGUGCCUAACACAUGCAAGUCGAACGAGAAAGUGGAGCAAUCCAUGAGUAAAGUGGCGACCGGGUGAGUAACACGUGACUAACCUACCUUCAAGUGGGGGAUAACCUCGGGAAACCGGGGCUAAUACCGCAUAACAUCUUUGGAGUGGAAAUUCUGGAGAUCAAAGGAGCAAUUCGCUGGAAGAGGGGGUCGCGGCUGAUUAGCUAGUUGGCGGGGUAAUGGCCCACCAAGGCUUUGAUCGGUAGCCGGCCUGAGAGGGCGCACGGCCACACUGGAACUGAAACACGGUCCAGACUCCUACGGGAGGCAGCAGUGGGGAAUUUUGCGCAAUGGGGGAAACCCUGACGCAGCAACGCCGCGUGGAGGAUGAAGUCCCUUGGGACGUAAACUCCUUUCGACCGGAAGAUGAUGACGGUACCGGUGGAAGAAGCCCCGGCUAACUUCGCGCCAGCAGCCGC
Molecule: ribosomal RNA, 475 nt
Filed under: uncultured bacterium
Lineage: Bacteria
Description: SSU rRNA
Rfam family: Bacterial small subunit ribosomal RNA
Source: RNAcentral